AAGCUUGUAAACUUAGUGGCGGACGGGUGAGUAACACGUGAGCAACCUGCCUAUCAGAGGGGGACAACAGUUGGAAACGACUGCUAAUACCGCAUGACACAUAGAGAUCGCAUGGUCGAGAUGCCAAAGAUUUAUUGCUGAAAGAUGGGCUCGCGUCUGAUUAGAUAGUUGGUGAGGUAACGGCCCACCAAGUCGACGAUCAGUAGCCGGACUGAGAGGUUGAACGGCCACAUUGGAACUGAGAUACGGUCCAGACUCC
Molecule: ribosomal RNA, 259 nt
Filed under: uncultured Oscillospiraceae bacterium
Lineage: Bacteria; Bacillati; Bacillota; Clostridia; Eubacteriales; Oscillospiraceae
Description: partial 16S ribosomal RNA
Rfam family: Bacterial small subunit ribosomal RNA
Source: RNAcentral